GUGUCAGCAGCCGCGGUAAUACGAAGGGGGCUAGCGUUGCUCGGAAUCACUGGGCGUAAAGCGCACGUAGGCGGACUCUUAAGUCGGUGGUGAAAUCCUGGAGCUCAACUCCAGAACUGCCUUCGAUACUGAGAGUCUCGAGUCCGGGAGAGGUGAGUGGAACUGCGAGUGUAGAGGUGAAAUUCGUAGAUAUUCGCAAGAACACCAGUGGCGAAGGCGGCUCACUGGCCCGGUACUGACGCUGAGGUGCGAAAGCGUGGGGAGCAAACAGGAUUAGAAACCCCCGUAGUCC
RNAcentral lists this ribosomal RNA (292 nucleotides) under uncultured bacterium. Its description in RNAcentral is "partial 16S ribosomal RNA". It matches the Rfam family "Bacterial small subunit ribosomal RNA", at positions 505 to 796 of the family's 1533-position model. The record is from RNAcentral.